GAUGAACGCUGGCGGCGUGCUUAACACAUGCAAGUCGAACGGUGAAGGCGGAGCUUGCUCUGCUGGAUCAGUGGCGAACGGGUGAGUAACACGUGAGCAAUCUGCCCCUGACUCUGGGAUAAGCGCUGGAAACGGCGGCUAAUACUGGAUACGAGCUGCGAAGGCAUCUUCAGCAGCUGGAAAGAACUUCGGUCAGGGAUGAGCUCGCGGCCUAUCAGCUUGUUGGUGAGGUAACGGCUCACCAAGGCGUCGACGGGUAGCCGGCCUGAGAGGGUGACCGGCCACACUGGGACUGAGACACGGCCCAGACUCCUACGGGAGGCAGCAGUGGGGAAUAUUGCACAAUGGGCGAAAGCCUGAUGCAGCAACGCCGCGUGAGUGACGACGGCCUUCGGGUUGUAAACCUCUUUUAGCAGGGAAGAAGCGAAAGUGACGGUACCUGCAGAAAAAGCGCCGGCUAACUACGUG
Molecule: ribosomal RNA, 468 nt
Filed under: uncultured bacterium
Lineage: Bacteria
Description: partial 16S ribosomal RNA
Rfam family: Bacterial small subunit ribosomal RNA
Source: RNAcentral